UACAGAGGUCCCGAGCGUUGUUCGGAUUCACUGGGCGUAAAGGGUGCGUAGGUGGUGAGGUAAGUCGGAUGUGAAAUCUCCGGGCUUAACCCGGAAAUGGCAUUGGAAACUACCUUGCUAGAGGAUUUGAGGGGGGAUUGGAAUACUUGGUGUAGCAGUGAAAUGCGUAGAUAUCGGGAGGAACACCAGUGGCGAAGGCGGCUUCCUGGACCGGUUCUGACACUGAGGAGCGAAAGCGUGGGGAGCGAUCCGG
This 253-nucleotide ribosomal RNA is filed under the name uncultured bacterium. RNAcentral's name for it is "partial 16S ribosomal RNA". It matches the Rfam family "Bacterial small subunit ribosomal RNA", at positions 524 to 776 of the family's 1533-position model. The record is from RNAcentral.